RNAcentral lists this ribosomal RNA (460 nucleotides) under uncultured bacterium. Its description in RNAcentral is "partial 16S ribosomal RNA". It matches the Rfam family "Bacterial small subunit ribosomal RNA", at positions 338 to 795 of the family's 1533-position model. The record is from RNAcentral.
CCUACGGGAGGCAGCAGUGAGGAAUAUUGGUCAAUGGACGCAAGUCUGAACCAGCCAUGCCGCGUGCAGGAAGACGGCUCUAUGAGUUGUAAACUGCUUUUGUACGGGGGUAAACGCAGAUACGCGUAUCUGUCUGAAAGUAUCGUACGAAUAAGGAUCGGCUAACUCCGUGCCAGCAGCCGCGGUAAUACGGAGGAUUCAAGCGUUAACCGGAUUUAUUGGGUUUAAAGGGUGCGUAGGCGGUCGGAUAAGUUAGAGGUGAAAGCCCGAGGCUCAACUUCGGAAUUGCCUCUGAUACUGUCCGGCUAGAGAGUAGGUGAGGUAGGCGGAAUGUAUGGUGUAGCGGUGAAAUGCUUAGAGAUCAUACAGAACACCGAUUGCGAAGGCAGCUUACUAAGCCACAUCUGACGUUGAGGCACGAAAGCGUGGGGAGCAAACAGGAUUAGAUACCCGGGUAGUC